This 342-nucleotide unclassified non-coding RNA is filed under the name soil metagenome. Its description in RNAcentral is "partial contains 5.8S ribosomal RNA, internal transcribed spacer 2, and large subunit ribosomal RNA". The stretch from base 1 to 120 matches the Rfam family "5.8S ribosomal RNA", at positions 35 to 154 of the family's 154-position model. The record is from RNAcentral.
GAUGAAGAACGUAGCAAAAUGCGAUAAGUAAUGUGAAUUGCAGAAUUCAGUGAAUCAUCGAAUCUUUGAACGCACAUUGCGCCCGCCAGUAUUCUGGCGGGCAUGCCUGUUCGAGCGUCAUUUACACCCUCAAGCCUAGCUUGGUGUUGGGCGCCUGUCCCGCCGUUUUCGCGCGCGGACUCGCCUCAAAGUCAUUGGCGGCGGUCGUGCCGGCCCCCUCGCGCAGCACAUUUGCGCUUCUCGGAGGCCCGGCGGAUCCGCGCUCCAGCAAGACCUUUCACGACUUGACCUCGGAUCAGGUAGGGAUACCCGCUGAACUUAAGCAUAUCAAUAAGCGGAGGA